RNAcentral lists this ribosomal RNA (579 nucleotides) under uncultured bacterium. RNAcentral describes it as "bacterial SSU rRNA". It matches the Rfam family "Bacterial small subunit ribosomal RNA", at positions 338 to 917 of the family's 1533-position model. The record is from RNAcentral.
CCUACGGGAGGCAGCAGUGAGGAAUAUUGGGCAAUGGAGGCAACUCUGACCCAGCCAUGCCGCGUGCAGGAAGACGGUUCUAUGAAUUGUAAACUGCUUUUAUUUGGGAAUAAAAUUAUCUACGUGUAGAUAACUGAAUGUACCAAAAGAAUAAGCACCGGCUAACUCCGUGCCAGCAGCCGCGGUAAUACGGAGGGUGCAAGCGUUAUCCGGAUUUAUUAGGUUUAAAGGGUCCGUAGGCGGGAUCUUAAGUCAGUGGUGAAAGCCUGCAGCUUAAUUGUAGAACUGCCAUUGAUACUGGGAUUCUUGAAUUUGAUUGAGGUAGGCGGAAUGAGAAGUGUAGCGGUGAAAUGCGUAGAUAUUUCUCAGAACACCGAUUGCGAAGGCAGCUUACUAAGUCAAUAUUGACGCUGAUGGACGAAAGCGUAGGUAGCGAACAGGAUUAGAUACCCUGGUAGUCUACGCCGUAAACGAUGAUUACUCGUUGUGCGCGAUACACAGUGCGUGACUGAGCGAAAGCAUUAAGUAAUCCACCUGGGGAGUACGCUCGCAAGAGUGAAACUCAAAUGAAUUGACGGA